Drosophila willistoni is the source of this 455-nucleotide long non-coding RNA. RefSeq lists it as uncharacterized. The transcript is spliced from 3 exons. NCBI's taxonomy places the organism in Eukaryota, Metazoa, Arthropoda, Insecta, Diptera, Drosophilidae. The record is from RefSeq and is a predicted model, not a curated record.
GUUUAAAACAUAUUAUAAAAUGCUUUUUUUUUGGAAAGUGCGGAUAGUGAUAUAUAUUUUACUUUCUAGAGAAAUUGUUGGUCAACAUGUGUAUCUGGAGAAAAAGAUAAAUAUUACAAACACCUAUGAAGCCCACGGUGAAGAUGCUGCAAAAUUAAAAAAACCUUUUGACAGAGGCCCAUACUUUGAUACAUCUGCAACAAAAAAUGUAACAUCGCUAGUUGGGAAAACCGGACACCUGAACUGUCGCAUAAAAAAUUUGGGCAACAAAACGGUAUCGUGGAUACGUCAUAGAGAUUUACAUCUUUUAACGGUAUCGGAAAGUACAUACACAUCAGAUCAGCGUUUCACAUCCAUUUACAACAAACAAACUGGCGACUGGUCACUGCAAGUAUGUACAAAAUCUAUCCUAAUAAAAACGCAAUAUGCUUUUAAGCAGUAUCAAAUAAAAUAUU